GAUGAACGCUGGCGGCGUGCCUAAUACAUGCAAGUCGAGCGAACAGACGAGGAGCUUGCUCCUCUGACGUUAGCGGCGGACGGGUGAGUAACACGUGGAUAACCUACCUAUAAGACUGGGAUAACUUCGGGAAGCCGGAGCUAAUACCGGAUAAUAUAUUGAACCGCAUGGUUCAAUAGUGAAAGACGGUUUUGCUGUCACUUAUAGAUGGAUCCGCGCCGCAUUAGCUAGUUGGUAAGGUAACGGCUUACCAAGGCGACGAUGCGUAGCCGACCUGAGAGGGUGAUCGGCCACACUGGAACUGAGACACGGUCCAGACUCCUACGGGAGGCAGCAGUAGGGAAUCUUCCGCAAUGGGCGAAAGCCUGACGGAGCAACGCCGCGUGAGUGAUGAGGGUCUUCGGAUCGUAAAACUCUGUUAUUAGGGAAGAACAAAUGUGUAAGUAACUAUGCACGUCUUGACGGUACCUAAUCAGAAAGCCACGGCUAACUACGUG
This 497-nucleotide ribosomal RNA is filed under the name uncultured bacterium. RNAcentral describes it as "partial 16S ribosomal RNA". It matches the Rfam family "Bacterial small subunit ribosomal RNA", at positions 28 to 507 of the family's 1533-position model. The record is from RNAcentral.